GACGAACGCUGGCGGCGUGCUUAACACAUGCAAGUCGAACGGAAAGGCCUCUUUCGGGGGGUACUCGAGUGGCGAACGGGUGAGUAACACGUGAGUAACCUGCCCUUGACUUUGGGAUAACUUCAGGAAACUGGGGCUAAUACCGGAUAGGAGCUCCUGCUGCAUGGUGGGGGUUGGAAAGUUUCGGCGGUUGGGGAUGGACUCGCGGCUUAUCAGCUUGUUGGUGGGGUAGUGGCUUACCAAGGCUUUGACGGGUAGCCGGCCUGAGAGGGUGACCGGCCACAUUGGGACUGAGAUACGGACCAGACUCCUACGGGAGGCAGCAGUGGGGAAGAUGGCACAAUGGGUGGAAGCCUGAUGCAGCAACGCCGUGUGCGGGAUGACGGCCUUCGGGUUGUAAACCGCUUUCGCUCAUGACGAAGCUUUGUGUGACGGUAGUGGGUAAAGAAGCACCGGCUAACUACGUG
This 467-nucleotide ribosomal RNA is filed under the name uncultured bacterium. RNAcentral describes it as "partial 16S ribosomal RNA". It matches the Rfam family "Bacterial small subunit ribosomal RNA", at positions 28 to 507 of the family's 1533-position model. The record is from RNAcentral.